GACGAACGCUUGCGGCGUGCCUAAGAAAUGCAAGUCGAGCGGGGUUGCUUCUCCUUGAGUUGAGAAGCAAGUUGAGAGUCUUUAGUUGAGAGUUGAGAGUAACGACCAGUCGGCCAACUCUCAACUCUCCAACCCUCAACUCUCAACUGAAUGAGGAGUAACCUAGCGGCGAACGGUCGCGUAACACGUAAGCAACCUGCCCCGAAGACCGGGACAACAGUCCGAAAGGAUUGCAAUACCGGAUGUGGCCAUUCCGUUGCAUGACGGGGUGAUUAAAUCAGGAAACUGGCUUCGGGAGGGGCUUGCGGCCUAUCAGCUAGUUGGUGGGGUAACGCCUACCAAGGCGACGACGGGUAGCUGGUCUGAGAGGAUGUCCAGCCGGACUGGGACUGAGACACGGCCCAGACUCCGUACGGGGGCAGCAAUUAGGAAUC
Molecule: ribosomal RNA, 434 nt
Filed under: uncultured bacterium
Lineage: Bacteria
Description: bacterial SSU rRNA
Rfam family: Bacterial small subunit ribosomal RNA
Source: RNAcentral